This is a small nuclear RNA of Onychomys torridus (southern grasshopper mouse), 107 nucleotides long. The record is from RefSeq and is a predicted model, not a curated record. NCBI's taxonomy places the organism in Eukaryota, Metazoa, Chordata, Mammalia, Rodentia, Cricetidae.
GAGCUCACUUUGACAGCAUAUAUACUAAAAUUAGAACAAUGCAGAGAAAAUUAGCAUGGCCACUGCACAAGGAUGGCACACAAAUCCGGAAAGCAUUCCAUAUUUUU